UGGGGAAUAUUGCACAAUGGGCGCAAGCCUGAUGCAGCCAUGCCGCGUGUAUGAAGAAGGCCUUCGGGUUGUAAAGUACUUUCAGUCGGGAGGAAGGUGUCAAGGUUAAUAACCUUGGCAAUUGACGUUACCGACAGAAGAAGCACCGGCUAACUCCGUGCCAGCAGCCGCGGUAAUACGGAGGGUGCAAGCGUUAAUCGGAAUUACUGGGCGUAAAGCGCACGCCGGCGGUUGAUUGAGUCAGAUGUGAAAUCCCCGGGCUUAACCCGGGAAUUGCAUCUGAUACUGGUCAGCUAGAGUCUUGUAGAGGGGGGUAGAAUUCCAUGUGUAGCGGUGAAAUGCGUAGAGAUGUGGAGGAAUACCGGUGGCGAAGGCGGCCCCCUGGACAAAGACUGACGCUCAGGUGCGAAAGCGUGGGGAGCAAACAGG
RNAcentral lists this ribosomal RNA (429 nucleotides) under Chloroflexota bacterium. RNAcentral's name for it is "Chloroflexi bacterium partial 16S ribosomal RNA". It matches the Rfam family "Bacterial small subunit ribosomal RNA", at positions 355 to 776 of the family's 1533-position model. Lineage: Bacteria; Bacillati; Chloroflexota. The record is from RNAcentral.